This 920-nucleotide ribosomal RNA is filed under the name Staphylococcus aureus. Its description in RNAcentral is "bacterial SSU rRNA". It matches the Rfam family "Bacterial small subunit ribosomal RNA", at positions 57 to 960 of the family's 1533-position model. Lineage: Bacteria; Bacillati; Bacillota; Bacilli; Caryophanales; Staphylococcaceae. The record is from RNAcentral.
GCAGUCGAGCGACGGACGAGAAGCUUGCUUCUCUGAUGUUAGCGGCGGACGGGUGAGUAACACGUGGAUAACCUACCUAUAAGACUGGGAUAACUUCGGGAAACCGGAGCUAAUACCGGAUAAUAUUUUGAACCGCAUGGUUCAAAAGUGAAAGACGGUCUUGCUGUCACUUAUAGAUGGAUCCGCGCUGCAUUAGCUAGUUGGUAAGGUAACGGCUUACCAAGGCAACGAUGCAUAGCCGACCUGAGAGGGUGAUCGGCCACACUGGAACUGAGACACGGUCCAGACUAAUACGGGAGGCAGCAGUAGGGAAUCUUCCGCAAUGGGCGAAAGCCUGACGGAGCAACGCCGCGUGAGUGAUGAAGGUCUUCGGAUCGUAAAACUCUGUUAUUAGGGAAGAACAUAUGUGUAAGUAACUGUGCACAUCUUGACGGUACCUAAUCAGAAAGCCACGGCUAACUACGUGCCAGCAGCCGCGGUAAUACGUAGGUGGCAAGCGUUAUCCGGAAUUAUUGGGCGUAAAGCGCGCGUAGGCGGUUUUUUAAGUCUGAUGUGAAAGCCCACGGCUCAACCGUGGAGGGUCAUUGGAAACUGGAAAACUUGAGUGCAGAAGAGGAAAGUGGAAUUCCAUGUGUAGCGGUGAAAUGCGCAGAGAUAUGGAGGAACACCAGUGGCGAAGGCGACUUUCUGGUCUGUAACUGACGCUGAUGUGCGAAAGCGUGGGGAUCAAACAGGAUUAGAUACCCUGGUAGUCCACGCCGUAAACGAUGAGUGCUAAGUGUUAGGGGGUUUCCGCCCCUUAGUGCUGCAGCUAACGCAUUAAGCACUCCGCCUGGGGAGUACGACCGCAAGGUUGAAACUCAAAGGAAUUGACGGGGACCCGCACAAGCGGUGUACCAUGUGGUUUAAUUCGAAACAAC